RNAcentral lists this transfer RNA (68 nucleotides) under Salmo salar (Atlantic salmon). It matches the Rfam family "tRNA". Rfam says of the family: Transfer RNA (tRNA) molecules are approximately 80 nucleotides in length. The record is from Rfam by way of RNAcentral. Lineage: Eukaryota; Metazoa; Chordata; Actinopteri; Salmoniformes; Salmonidae.
GCUGUGAUUAGUGGUUAGUACUAUGCAUUGUGGCUGCAGCAACCCCGGUUUAAAUCCGGGUCACGGCA